RNAcentral lists this ribosomal RNA (2699 nucleotides) under Escherichia coli. RNAcentral describes it as "partial 23S ribosomal RNA". It matches the Rfam family "Bacterial large subunit ribosomal RNA". The record is from RNAcentral. Lineage: Bacteria; Pseudomonadati; Pseudomonadota; Gammaproteobacteria; Enterobacterales; Enterobacteriaceae.
UUGUGAGGUUAAGCGACUAAGCGUACACGGUGGAUGCCCUGGCAGUCAGAGGCGAUGAAGGACGUGCUAAUCUGCGAUAAGCGUCGGUGAGGUGAUAUGAACCGUUAUAACCGGCGAUUUCCGAAUGGGGAAACCCAGUGUGUUUCGACACACUAUCAUUAACUGAAUCCAUAGGUUAAUGAGGCGAACCGGGGGAACUGAAACAUCUAAGUACCCCGAGGAAAAGAAAUCAACCGAGAUUCCCCCAGUAGCGGCGAGCGAACGGGGAGGAGCCCAGAGCCUGAAUCAGUGUGUGUGUUAGUGGAAGCGUCUGGAAAGGCGCGCGAUACAGGGUGACAGCCCCGUACACAAAAAUGCACAUAUUGUGAGCUCGAUGAGUAGGGCGGGACACGUGGUAUCCUGUCUGAAUAUGGGGGGACCAUCCUCCAAGGCUAAAUACUCCUGACUGACCGAUAGUGAACCAGUACCGUGAGGGAAAGGCGAAAAGAACCCCGGCGAGGGGAGUGAAAAAGAACCUGAAACCGUGUACGUACAAGCAGUGGGAGCCUCUUAAUGGGGUGACUGCGUACCUUUUGUAUAAUGGGUCAGCGACUUAUAUUCUGUAGCAAGGUUAACCGAAUAGGGGAGCCGAAGGGAAACCGAGUCUUAACUGGGCGUUAAGUUGCAGGGUAUAGACCCGAAACCCGGUGAUCUAGCCAUGGGCAGGUUGAAGGUUGGGUAACACUAACUGGAGGACCGAACCGACUAAUGUUGAAAAAUUAGCGGAUGACUUGUGGCUGGGGGUGAAAGGCCAAUCAAACCGGGAGAUAGCUGGUUCUCCCCGAAAGCUAUUUAGGUAGCGCCUCGUGAAUUCAUCUCCGGGGGUAGAGCACUGUUUCGGCAAGGGGGUCAUCCCGACUUACCAACCCGAUGCAAACUGCGAAUACCGGAGAAUGUUAUCACGGGAGACACACGGCGGGUGCUAACGUCCGUCGUGAAGAGGGAAACAACCCAGACCGCCAGCUAAGGUCCCAAAGUCAUGGUUAAGUGGGAAACGAUGUGGGAAGGCCCAGACAGCCAGGAUGUUGGCUUAGAAGCAGCCAUCAUUUAAAGAAAGCGUAAUAGCUCACUGGUCGAGUCGGCCUGCGCGGAAGAUGUAACGGGGCUAAACCAUGCACCGAAGCUGCGGCAGCGACACUAUGUGUUGUUGGGUAGGGGAGCGUUCUGUAAGCCUGUGAAGGUGUACUGUGAGGUAUGCUGGAGGUAUCAGAAGUGCGAAUGCUGACAUAAGUAACGAUAAAGCGGGUGAAAAGCCCGCUCGCCGGAAGACCAAGGGUUCCUGUCCAACGUUAAUCGGGGCAGGGUGAGUCGACCCCUAAGGCGAGGCCGAAAGGCGUAGUCGAUGGGAAACAGGUUAAUAUUCCUGUACUUGGUGUUACUGCGAAGGGGGGACGGAGAAGGCUAUGUUGGCCGGGCGACGGUUGUCCCGGUUUAAGCGUGUAGGCUGGUUUUCCAGGCAAAUCCGGAAAAUCAAGGCUGAGGCGUGAUGACGAGGCACUACGGUGCUGAAGCGACAAAUGCCCUGCUUCCAGGAAAAGCCUCUAAGCAUCAGGUAACAUCAAAUCGUACCCCAAACCGACACAGGUGGUCAGGUAGAGAAUACCAAGGCGCUUGAGAGAACUCGGGUGAAGGAACUAGGCAAAAUGGUGCCGUAACUUCGGGAGAAGGCACGCUGAUAUGUAGGUGAAGCGACUUGCUCGUGGAGCUGAAAUCAGUCGAAGAUACCAGCUGGCUGCAACUGUUUAUUAAAAACACAGCACUGUGCAAACACGAAAGUGGACGUAUACGGUGUGACGCCUGCCCGGUGCCGGAAGGUUAAUUGAUGGGGUUAGCGGUAACGCGAAGCUCUUGAUCGAAGCCCCGGUAAACGGCGGCCGUAACUAUAACGGUCCUAAGGUAGCGAAAUUCCUUGUCGGGUAAGUUCCGACCUGCACGAAUGGCGUAAUGAUGGCCAGGCUGUCUCCACCCGAGACUCAGUGAAAUUGAACUCGCUGUGAAGAUGCAGUGUACCCGCGGCAAGACGGAAAGACCCCGUGAACCUUUACUAUAGCUUGACACUGAACAUUGAGCCUUGAUGUGUAGGAUAGGUGGGAGGCUUUGAAGUGUGGACGCCAGUCUGCAUGGAGCCGACCUUGAAAUACCACCCUUUAAUGUUUGAUGUUCUAACGUGGGCCCCUUACCGGGGUUGCGGACAGUGUCUGGUGGGUAGUUUGACUGGGGCGGUCUCCUCCUAAAGAGUAACGGAGGAGCACGAAGGUUGGCUAAUCCUGGUCGGACAUCAGGAGGUUAGUGCAAUGGCAUAAGCCAGCUUGACUGCGAGCGUGACGGCGCGAGCAGGUGCGAAAGCAGGUCAUAGUGAUCCGGUGGUUCUGAAUGGAAGGGCCAUCGCUCAACGGAUAAAAGGUACUCCGGGGAUAACAGGCUGAUACCGCCCAAGAGUUCAUAUCGACGGCGGUGUUUGGCACCUCGAUGUCGGCUCAUCACAUCCUGGGGCUGAAGUAGGUCCCAAGGGUAUGGCUGUUCGCCAUUUAAAGUGGUACGCGAGCUGGGUUUAGAACGUCGUGAGACAGUUCGGUCCCUAUCUGCCGUGGGCGCUGGAGAACUGAGGGGGGCUGCUCCUAGUACGAGAGGACCGGAGUGGACGCAUCACUGGUGUUCGG